GGACCCGUAGCUCAGCUGGAUAGAGCGUUGCCCUCCGAAGGCAAAGGUCGCGCGUUCGAAUCGCGCCGGGUCCGCCA
Molecule: transfer RNA, 77 nt
Filed under: Acidiphilium rubrum
Lineage: Bacteria; Pseudomonadati; Pseudomonadota; Alphaproteobacteria; Acetobacterales; Acidocellaceae
Also listed under: 26 other names
Description: tRNA-Arg
Rfam family: tRNA
About the family: Transfer RNA (tRNA) molecules are approximately 80 nucleotides in length. Their secondary structure includes four short double-helical elements and three loops (D, anti-codon, and T loops).
Source: RNAcentral